AGUGAACGCUGGCGGUAGGCCUAACACAUGCAAGUCGAACGGCAGCACAGUAAGAGCUUGCUCUUACGGGUGGCGAGUGGCGGACGGGUGAGGAAUACAUCGGAAUCUACUUUUUCGUGGGGGAUAACGUAGGGAAACUUACGCUAAUACCGCAUACGACCUCCGGGUGAAAGCAGGGGAUCUUCGGACCUUGCGCGAUUUAAGGAGCCGAUGUCGGAUUAGCUAGUUGGCGGGGUAGAGGCCCACCAAGGCGACGAUCCGUAGCUGGUCUGAGAGGAUGAUCAGGCACACGGGAACUGAGACACGGCACAGACUCCUACGGGAGGCAGCAGUGGGGAAUAUUGGACAAUGGGCGCAAGCCUGAUCCAGCCAUACCGCGUGGGUGAAGAAGGCCUUCGGGUGGUAAAGCCCUUUUGUUGGGAAAGAAAAGCAGCAGGUUAAUACCCCGCUGUUCUGACGGUACCCAAGGAAUAAGCACCGGCUAACUUCGUG
This 492-nucleotide ribosomal RNA is filed under the name uncultured bacterium. RNAcentral describes it as "partial 16S ribosomal RNA". It matches the Rfam family "Bacterial small subunit ribosomal RNA", at positions 29 to 507 of the family's 1533-position model. The record is from RNAcentral.